Molecule: ribosomal RNA, 446 nt
Filed under: uncultured bacterium
Lineage: Bacteria
Description: partial 16S ribosomal RNA
Rfam family: Bacterial small subunit ribosomal RNA
Source: RNAcentral
CCUACGGGGGGCAGCAGUCGAGAAUUAUUCACAAUGGGGGAAACCCUGAUGGUGCGACGCCGCGUGGGGGAAUGAAGGUCUUCGGAUUGUAAACCCCUGUCAUGUGGGAGCAAAUUAAAAAGAUAGUACCACAAGAGGAAGAGACGGCUAACUCUGUGCCAGCAGCCGCGGUAAUACAGAGGUCUCAAGCGUUGUUCGGAAUCACUGGGCGUAAAGCGUGCGUAGGCUGUUUCGUAAGUCGUGUGUGAAAGGCGCGGGCUCAACCCGCGGACGGCACAUGAUACUGCGAGACUAGAGUAAGGGAGGGGGAACCGGAAUUCUCGGUGUAGCAGUGAAAUGCGUAGAUAUCGAGAGGAACACUCGUGGCGAAGGCGGGUUCCUGGACAUUAACUGACGCUGAGGCACGAAGGCCAGGGGAGCGAAAGGGAUUAGAUACCCCAGUAGUC